GGACGACUAGCUCAGUUGGUAGAGCGUUCGCUUGACGUGCGAAAGGUCGUUGGUUCGAGACCAACGUCGUCCA
This 73-nucleotide transfer RNA is filed under the name Candidatus Woesebacteria bacterium RIFOXYA1_FULL_40_18. Its description in RNAcentral is "tRNA-Val". It matches the Rfam family "tRNA". Rfam says of the family: Transfer RNA (tRNA) molecules are approximately 80 nucleotides in length. Their secondary structure includes four short double-helical elements and three loops (D, anti-codon, and T loops). RNAcentral also lists the same sequence under 1 other name. The record is from RNAcentral. Lineage: Bacteria; Candidatus Woeseibacteriota.